This 321-nucleotide ribosomal RNA is filed under the name uncultured Pseudomonadota bacterium. RNAcentral's name for it is "bacterial SSU rRNA". It matches the Rfam family "Bacterial small subunit ribosomal RNA", at positions 30 to 351 of the family's 1533-position model. The record is from RNAcentral. Lineage: Bacteria; Pseudomonadati; Pseudomonadota.
AUUGAACGCUGGCGGCAUGCCUUACACAUGCAAGUCGAACGGCAGCACGGGAGCAAUCCUGGUGGCGAGUGGCGAACGGGUGAGUAAUAUAUCGGAACGUGCCCAGUCGUGGGGGAUAACGCAGCGAAAGCUGUGCUAAUACCGCAUACGAUCUACGGAUGAAAGCGGGGGAUCGCAAGACCUCGCGCGAUUGGAGCGGCCGAUAUCAGAUUAGCUAGUUGGUGAGGUAAAGGCUCACCAAGGCGACGAUCUGUAGCGGGUCUGAGAGGAUGAUCCGCCACACUGGAACUGAGACACGGUCCAGACUCCUACGGGUGGCUG